GAUGAACGCUGGCGGCGUGCCUAAUACAUGCAAGUCGAACGAACAGACGAGAAGCUUGCUUCUCUGAUGUUAGCGGCGGACGGGUGAGUAACACGUGGGUAACCUACCUAUAAGACUGGGAUAACUCCGGGAAACCGGGGCUAAUACCGGAUAAUAUUUUGAACCGCAUGGUUCGAUAGUGAAAGACGGUUUCGGCUGUCACUUAUAGAUGGACCCGCGCCGUAUUAGCUAGUUGGUAAGGUAACGGCUUACCAAGGCGACGAUACGUAGCCGACCUGAGAGGGUGAUCGGCCACACUGGAACUGAGACACGGUCCAGACUCCUACGGGAGGCAGCAGUAGGGAAUCUUCCGCAAUGGGCGAAAGCCUGACGGAGCAACGCCGCGUGAGUGAUGAAGGUCUUCGGAUCGUAAAACUCUGUUGUUAGGGAAGAACAAAUUUGUUAGUAACUGAACAAGUCUUGACGGUACCUAACCAGAAAGCCACGGCUAACUACGUGCCAGCCGCCGCCUGUAA
Molecule: ribosomal RNA, 515 nt
Filed under: uncultured bacterium
Lineage: Bacteria
Description: partial 16S ribosomal RNA
Rfam family: Bacterial small subunit ribosomal RNA
Source: RNAcentral